CCUACGGGAGGCAGCAGUAGGGAAUGUUCGGCAAUGGGGGGAACCCUGACCGAGCAACGCCGCGUGAAAGAAGAAGGUAUUCGAAAUGUAAAGUUCUUUUAACAGGGAAGAAAGAGAAAGUGGACGGUACCUGAAGAAUAAGCUCCGGCUAACGUCGUGCCAGCAGCCGCGGAAAUACGUAGGGAGCGAGCGUGAUCCGGAAUGAUGGGGCGUAAAGGGUGCGUCGAGGGCAUAGGAAGUCUUUUGUAAAAAUGCUGGGCUCAACCCAGUAGGGCAAAAGAUACUGCAAAGCUAGAGUAUGCCUGAGUCAAGUGGCCCUACCUGUGUAGCGGU
RNAcentral lists this ribosomal RNA (333 nucleotides) under uncultured bacterium. RNAcentral's name for it is "partial 16S ribosomal RNA". It matches the Rfam family "Bacterial small subunit ribosomal RNA", at positions 338 to 682 of the family's 1533-position model. The record is from RNAcentral.